CUUUUUCUCUCUGAAAGUAGCCGUCUUCUGGUAAAUGGCUAGGACUUAGAUCUUCCCACUUGUUCCUGAUGAUGCUGCUCUUCUUCCAAACUCGGCAUAGCACCCAAUCAUCCAACUACAACAGAGGAACAUAUUCGGUGGUGGUUGUAUCGAGCAAUCGGUACUCAUGCAUAAUCCAGUCUGUCUUGACUCCUCUAGGAGGGCGGCCACUGUAGAAAACUAAGGCCUUCUUGACCCCGAUAUUCUUGGCUCCACUUGAGGCAAAAAUCGGUUUAUCUAUCCCUGUGGCUUUCCAAUACCCUGAGGCUGCUGCUCUAUUAGGUCUUGCCCCGUUCGGGUACUUCCUCUCCCUUGGAGUGAAAAAGUACCACUCAUCUUCUCCAAACAAAGCCUUCUCUGUUUGAAAAUAGAAAUAAAACAUUGGGUCAGUCACUUAAGCAGUGAUUGCAGAAAAUAUUCAGUCUGAUAAUUCAUACUAUGUGGACUAUUCGAGCUUGUAUCGUUUAUGAAACAUAUCUAUAGUAUCAA
Punica granatum (pomegranate) is the source of this 528-nucleotide non-coding RNA. The record is from RefSeq and is a predicted model, not a curated record. Lineage: Eukaryota; Viridiplantae; Streptophyta; Magnoliopsida; Myrtales; Lythraceae.